GACGUAGGUGGCAAGCGUUGUCCGGAAUUAUUGGGCGUAAAGCGCGCGCAGGCGGCCUUUUAAGUCUGAUGUGAAAGCCCACGGCUUAACCGUGGAAGGUCAUUGGAAACUGGAAGGCUUGAGGAUAGAAGAGGAAAGUGGAAUUCCACGUGUAGCGGUGAAAUGCGUAGAGAUGUGGAGGAACACCAGUGGCGAAGGCGACUUUCUGGUCUAUAACUGACGCUGAGGCGCGAAAGCAUGGGGAGCAAACAGG
RNAcentral lists this ribosomal RNA (253 nucleotides) under uncultured bacterium. RNAcentral's name for it is "partial 16S ribosomal RNA". It matches the Rfam family "Bacterial small subunit ribosomal RNA", at positions 524 to 776 of the family's 1533-position model. The record is from RNAcentral.